RNAcentral lists this long non-coding RNA (1902 nucleotides) under Homo sapiens (human). RNAcentral describes it as "long non-coding RNA NONHSAT096930.2". The record is from RNAcentral. Lineage: Eukaryota; Metazoa; Chordata; Mammalia; Primates; Hominidae.
AUCAGGUUCAACGCAGUGACUGCUCAGUAGAAGCCAUGGCUCGCAGACACUGCUUCUCCUACUGGUUACUGGUAUGCUGGUUGGUGGUAACUGUGGCAGAAGCACUGUCCACUUUCUAUCUCCAGCAGCAUAUUAAUUUGCACAUGCCAGGAUGGUCUCGAUCUCCUGACCUCGUGAUCUGCCAGCCUCGGCCUCCCAAAGUUCUGGGAUUACAGGCAUGAGCCACAGCGCCCGGCCAAAAUCCGCACAUCUUAAAGGACAAGAAGAGGUAUUUACGCCUCCUGGAGAUUCACAAAAUAAUGCGGACGCUACCGACUGCCAGAUCUUUACACUCACCCCUCCACCUGCCCCGAGGAGUCCGGUCACAAGGGCCCAGCCCAUCACAAAGACACCCAGGUAUUUCCCCAGAAGAAGACUCCAGAGAGGAAGCUCAUCUGAGGAAAGCUGAGAGGGAAGAGAAACCCAAACAUACUGAAGCAAAAAAAAGCCUAUCCUUCAGAAAAAAGCAACAAAAAGAUUUCUGUUUUAUCUUUCGAAACUAAAACUAUUGGAUUUGAAGAUUAAGUAUCCUAAACAUCACUGACUAGAAACUGUUCUCUUUGUCAGCAGUGAAGAUAUUGGAUCAUAGGUUAUUGAUGGUUGCAAAAUUGGACAAUAACCACGUUAUUUUUAUCCUCAACCUCUUAUGGUCACAGGAUAUUUAUGCAAAUAAAAUCUUUAAAUGGGUGGCUCUAGUAAUUCCUAUCCAUACUAAGAUGCUGAGAGAAUCCAUCUCCUCCUCUAAAUUAAACAGGAUUUAAAUAAAUUGAGAUCAUUAUAAACCACACGAAGAAACUGAUGACACCGUUUUUAUACUCAUUGGAAAACAUACAGAGCAAGGUGCAUUGACAAAGUAAACUUUAAAAGAAAUUAUAAAGCUUAAAGCAAUUAAAAAGUUAUGAGGAGUCUGACUGUAGCUAAUACUUUAAAGAUAUAAACUGACUUGUCUAACCCAAAUAAUAAUAAUUAUUAUUAUUUUCUUGGAGACAGAAUUUCACUCUUGUUACCCAGGCUGGAGUUUAGUGGUGCUGUCUCGGCUCACUGCAACCUCUGCCUCCCGGGUUCAAGCAAUUCUCUUGCCUCAGCCUCCCAAGUAGCUGGGAUUAUAGGUGCUCGCUACCAAGCCUGGCCAAUUUUUUGUAUUUUUAGUAGAGAUGGGGUUUCACCAUGUUGGCCAGGCUGGUCUCGAACUCCUGACCUCAGGUGAUCCACCCACCUCGGCCUCCCAGAGUGCUGGGAUUACAGGCAUGAGUCACUGCGCCCAGCCCCAAAUAAUUACUUUUAAACUAUAGUAUCUAAAUUUACUUUAAUGUUGACUUCAACUGAUGCAAAUUAAUUUGAUAAUUUUCUCACUGUUUCCCGUUAUCAUUACAUAGAUGCUGGCUAAAAUAAUAUACUUCCUCUCAAACUUUUAACGUAAUUCCAGGUUCAAAAUGCCUGAUUAAACUGCUACAAGAAUAUUCUGGUACCUCUAGAACUCCACAGAGAUAAGUUCACUCAACUCUUGGAACCUUGUAUUCUCAGGGUGCAAUAUGAGAAACAAAUCCCACAGAUUGCAUUGAUUGGUUAUUUGUUUUGGCCACUCUGUAAAACACAUCUUCCUGUUUAUGCCACUUAUCUUGCCUGUAACAUAAGAACUUUAGUUCUGCAUAUGUGGUCAGUGGUUUGCACUUUUUCCUCCCAAGAUCUACAUGCAAAAGUUGCUGUUGCUGCUGCUGCUACAAAAACAGAAAAAAAAAAAUCAGGAUGAAGACAUGAAAGGACUUUGGGAAUGGUUGCCCUAAAAAAGGAAAGAGAGAUAAAAUCAUCAUGCUAUGUUUCUUUGCUUUAUUAAAAUGAUCAAAAAAGAAAAAAACUAUUUAA